AGCAUGAUAAAGCCGAAUCCAGCUCAGGUACGGGGGAACCGCAAACCAGGGGUGAAAUUCCGGAAACGGAAUAGGGGUCCUCUAACCCUAACCCGUCAGCUAACCUCGGAGGCUUCGAGAGGGGCAGA
RNAcentral lists this small RNA (128 nucleotides) under Anaerosporomusa subterranea. RNAcentral's name for it is "Anaerosporomusa subterraneum c-di-AMP sequence". It matches the Rfam family "c-di-AMP riboswitch aptamer (ydaO/yuaA leader)". Rfam says of the family: This family represents a conserved RNA structure found upstream of the ydaO and yuaA genes in Bacillus subtilis and related genes in other bacteria. The record is from Rfam by way of RNAcentral. Lineage: Bacteria; Bacillati; Bacillota; Negativicutes; Acetonemataceae.